This 77-nucleotide transfer RNA is filed under the name Halanaerobiaceae bacterium. RNAcentral describes it as "tRNA-Arg". It matches the Rfam family "tRNA". Rfam says of the family: Transfer RNA (tRNA) molecules are approximately 80 nucleotides in length. Their secondary structure includes four short double-helical elements and three loops (D, anti-codon, and T loops). RNAcentral also lists the same sequence under 1 other name. Lineage: Bacteria; Bacillati; Bacillota; Clostridia; Halanaerobiales; Halanaerobiaceae. The record is from RNAcentral.
GGGGCUAUAGCUCAGGAGGAUAGAGCGACAGAUUCCUAAUCUGUAGGCCACAGGUUCGAAUCCUGUUAGCCCUACCA